CAGAAGCGUAUACUAACGUUGUUGCAGUUAAAAAGCUCGUAGUUGAAUUUGUUGUAGGAGCGACCUGGCCUUUUGGUGAAUGCCAAUUGUAUUUUGCUAAGUGUCUGUCUUCGGCAAUUUUUGGAAUUAGUAAAUCUAAUUCUUCUUUCACUGUAAAAAAAUUAGAGUGUUUCAAGCAGGCAAUCGCCAGAAUACUUUAGCAUGGAAUAAUGGAAUAGGACUCGUGGCUCCAUUUGGUUGGUUAUUGGACAUGAGUAAUGAUUAAUAGGGACAGUUGGGGGCAUUAGUAUUUAAUUGUCAGAGGUGAAAUUCUUGGAUUUAUGAAAGACGAACUUCUGCGAAAGCAUUUGCCAAGGAUGUUUUCAUUGA
RNAcentral lists this ribosomal RNA (369 nucleotides) under uncultured eukaryote. Its description in RNAcentral is "partial 18S ribosomal RNA". It matches the Rfam family "Eukaryotic small subunit ribosomal RNA", at positions 592 to 976 of the family's 1831-position model. The record is from RNAcentral.